CAGUAGCCGCGGUAAUACGAAGGGGGCUAGCGUUGUUCGGAUUUACUGGGCGUAAAGCGCACGUAGGCGGAUCGAUCAGUCAGGGGUGAAAUCCCAGAGCUCAACUCUGGAACUGCCUUUGAUACUGUCGAUCUGGAGUAUGGAAGAGGUGAGUGGAAUUCCGAGUGUAGAGGCGAAAUUCGUAGAUAUUCGGAAGAACACCAGUGGCGAAGGCGGCUCACUGGCUCAUUCUAGACGCUGAGGUGCGAAAGCGUGGGGAGCAAACAGGAUUAGAUACCCCAGUAGUCCCUGUCUCUUAUAC
RNAcentral lists this ribosomal RNA (301 nucleotides) under uncultured bacterium. RNAcentral's name for it is "partial 16S ribosomal RNA". It matches the Rfam family "Bacterial small subunit ribosomal RNA", at positions 509 to 807 of the family's 1533-position model. The record is from RNAcentral.